AAGGCAGAGAAGAGCCCUAAUUUCACACUCCAUGAAGCUCAAUGGAGAAAAUUAUUAUUUUAAGUGCUCCCAGAUUCUCUUCCUGAGGUCUGUGACAGAAGAAGGAAGAUGAACCGUUUGGCCACCCUGAAUUAGGUGGACAAUGAGGAGAUAUACUCCAUUCCUUAUAGGAGUUUGACAUCAAUCUCAAACAAAGAGCAACUUAACUGUUGCUAGUUUUGGUACCGAACACAUCUUGCCAUUUUUCAACUGGAAUUAUGUCCUACCAGUGUGAGAGCUCCUUCAUUUCAGCCUCCUGACUCCAUUUUUAAAGAGAUUUCCUUUAUUAAUUUUUACACUACUUUGGAGAGAGACUUAACGAGGACAUUUCGGGUACUCGGAAUCGUUAAAAUGGGAAAGAACUUGAAAUGUUAUGUUUAGGGUCACCUGGGUGUAUCAGUGG
Suricata suricatta (meerkat) is the source of this 442-nucleotide long non-coding RNA. RefSeq lists it as uncharacterized. The record is from RefSeq and is a predicted model, not a curated record. NCBI's taxonomy places the organism in Eukaryota, Metazoa, Chordata, Mammalia, Carnivora, Herpestidae. The transcript is spliced from 4 exons.